Molecule: ribosomal RNA, 497 nt
Filed under: uncultured bacterium
Lineage: Bacteria
Description: partial 16S ribosomal RNA
Rfam family: Bacterial small subunit ribosomal RNA
Source: RNAcentral
GAUGAACGCUGGCGGCGUGCCUAAUACAUGCAAGUCGAGCGAACAGACGAGGAGCUUGCUCCUCUGACGUUAGCGGCGGACGGGUGAGUAACACGUGGAUAACCUACCUAUAAGACUGGGAUAACUUCGGGAAACCGGAGCUAAUACCGGAUCAUAUAUUGAACCGCAUGGUUCAAUAGUGAAAGACGGUUUUGCUGUCACUUAUAGAUGGAUCCGCGCCGCAUUAGCUAGUUGGUAAGGUAACGGCUUACCAAGGCAACGAUGCGUAGCCGACCUGAGAGGGUGACCGGCCACACUGGAACUGAGACACGGUCCAGACUCCUACGGGAGGCAGCAGUAGGGAAUUUUCCGCAAUGGGCGAAAGCCUGACGGAGCAACGCCGCGUGAGUGAUGAAGGUCUUCGGAUCGUAAAACUCUGUUAUUAGGGAAGAACAAAUGUGUAAGUAACUCUGCACGUCUUGACGGUACCUAAUCAGAAAGCCACGGCUAACUACGUG